AUUGAACGCUGGCGGCAGGCCUAACACAUGCAAGUCGAACGGUAACAGGAAGAAGCUUGCUUCUUUGCUGACGAGUGGCGGACGGGUGAGUAAUGUCUGGGAAACUGCCUGAUGGAGGGGGAUAACUACUGGAAACGGUAGCUAAUACCGCAUAAUGUCGCAAGACCAAAGAGGGGGACCUUCGGGCCUCUUGCCAUCGGAUGUGCCCAGAUGGGAUUAGCUAGUAGGUGGGGUAACGGCUCACCUAGGCGACGAUCCCUAGCUGGUCUGAGAGGAUGACCAGCCACACUGGAACUGAGACACGGUCCAGACUCCUACGGGAGGCAGCAGUGGGGAAUAUUGCACAAUGGGCGCAAGCCUGAUGCAGCUAUGCCGCGUGUAUGAAGAAGGCCUUCGGGUUGUAAAGUACUUUCAGCGGGGAGGAAGGGAGUAAAGUUAAUACCUUUGCUCAUUGACGUUACCCGCAGAAGAAGCACCGGCUAACUCCGUA
This 490-nucleotide ribosomal RNA is filed under the name uncultured bacterium. RNAcentral describes it as "partial 16S ribosomal RNA". It matches the Rfam family "Bacterial small subunit ribosomal RNA", at positions 30 to 507 of the family's 1533-position model. The record is from RNAcentral.